UCCCUGUUACCAGGGCAGUCUGAAUAGAAAAAUCCAACUAUUCACAAGGGUUGCGCUCGUUAAUGGACUUAACCAAACAUCUCACGACACGAGCUGACGACGGCCAUGCAUCACCUGUCACUUGGUUCCCGAAGGCACCAUCUUCUUUCGAAGUUGUUCCAAGGAUGUCAAGCCUGGGUAAGGUUCUUCGCUUACCAUCGAAUUAAACAACACGCUCCACCGCUUGUGCGGGUCCCCGUCAAUUCCUUUAUGUUUUAGCCUUGCGGCCGUACUCCACAGGCGGGAUGCUUAACGCGUUAGCUUCGCUACUGAAGGGGUCGAUACCUCCAACAGCUAGCAUCCAUAGUUUACGGCGUGGACUAC
Molecule: unclassified non-coding RNA, 363 nt
Filed under: uncultured bacterium
Lineage: Bacteria
Description: contains 16S-23S intergenic spacer region
Source: RNAcentral